CAGAGAGAGGGGAGCUGGAACAUGUUAGGGCCCCCGAAAGCCAAGAUACCCCAGAGCCCAGGAAUCUGAGAAGAGUCCACGUUGAGGGCAGCGUUCGCCUGCGUUCUCUGCCAAGGGGCUGUGGAUUUCGGGACUGAGCACCGUGUCCCGGGACCUCAUCCCCAGGAGGCAGGGCCAUGGGACAGCCCCCAGCGCCAGCCGUGUGGAAUGUGCCACUCUUGGAACUGAGGCUCUCGGUUUUUAAAAUUGGCUUGUAAAUCUCCGUGUAGUUUUCAGGCUUUAGGAAUUUUAUUUUAUCUGGAUUAAAGUCAUGUUCUGCUUUGGCAUAGGAAGGCGUUUAUGACUGUUAAAACAAGAAAUGAAAAAUAUAGGCCUGCAAUCAGCCGGGCUGCCUCCUGCCAGAGUCUAGGGAUUUGUCUUGGGGGCCAGGCUGAAGGUUUGCUGCCCUUCUCCCCGCACUGCUCUGUGUUUCUCCAGAAAGCUGGAGCUGGCUGCCUGGGAGCGGCUGUCGCGAUGGCUGGGAGGGCCUCAGGAACGAAGCCUUUGUCUUUGCUCAGGUGUGUUCUCACAAUGGGGAGCCACGGCCCUCCCCAAGGACCAGCGAGCAAUGGGCGCAUCUCAUUCGCUGCCUGCAUUUGCCCCCGCCCAUCCAAGAGAGCAGAAUCAGAGAGGGUGAAGGCAUCCCAGCCAAUGCCGUGAGAAAGCACCUGAGAACCUUAAGAGCAGAAAGGCAAGGCAAGCUACCAGCUUCUUGGACCAACCGCCUUUUGUCCUUGCUCAGGGGAAUACAAGCUUUCUUUCUCCAGACACUGCAAGUGUCCACAAGUUCUUCCCUUUAAAAGGGAUUAUGAAGGAAAUCUCGUUUCAGAAUUGCUGCUGCUUUUGGCAAUCUGCAAUAUUAGCCUGAUGAGGAAUUACACUCGCUAAUGAAAUCUCGCAAGUUGGGUUGAGUCUAAUUGUUGCUAGUGCUCGUAGUAAUAGCCUUUCUUGGGGACUUCUGUGCCGGAGCAUCCCUCGCUUGGCUACAGCCCAUGUGGAAAAUCAAUUUCCUCUAAAUGUUUGAAGAAUGGCACAGAAGGACCUGAUUUCUUUUCCCUCUGCUGGAGUUAAUCUGGAGACAGUGAGCCUAUAAAAUGAAUGAAAAUAGCUACGAUUGCAAGAUGCAGGGUGGAAUGCCGAGCUAAGCUAAGCAGAGCUGAUCGCACACUCCAAGUUCCAGCUUUUUGUCCUAAGGCCAGAGACAAUAUACAUUCGUGUCCCAAAUUGAUGGGCUCUUAAAAAGUCACAGAACAGAAAGGAUUUUACUUCAACCUGGCAAUUUCACUUCUAGGAAUCUCUCCCGCAGAAAAACUCCCAGGAGAAUGCAGGACUGUAGGAACCUGGUUUGUGACGGUGAAAAAUUGGAGGCAAGAGAAUUAUCUGACAAUGAGAGACUGGUUAAAAAAAAAUGGUGAUAGAUCCAUGCUCUGUAGCCAUUAAAAAGAAAGAGCUAAAUCUGUGUGAAUUCAUAUGGAAGGAUUUUUAUGGUAUGGUAUUGGGUGGAAAAAAGCAAGUUACAGACAUACAUAGUAUGGGUUCACUUUUGUAAAAAAAACCUUCAACAACAAUGUGCACAUUUAUACGUAGAUGUUUGUACAUGAGUAGAGAAAGAUCUGAAAGGGUACACACCAAGUUGUAGAUGGUGGUGGCUAAACUCAGGAGUGGGAAUGGUGCAGGUGAGACAGGAAAUUUCCCUUCUAUAGUAUUUCGGGUUUUUUUUACAACAAGGGUUUGUGGCUUUGGAACGAAAAAGGAAAUAAAGAAUUGACUUUCUGGCUUGUCUGAAUAGCACCGUGCCAGGUUCACCACUCUUUCUGAGGAUAUGGAAGAUCACAGCUCAACUCCACAGUGUUACGAUCCGGUCAAGCCAGUUGCAAGUCUGUUACACAGCUUAAUCUGAUAGGUCAUAGCUCUUUCUAGUCCACAACUGCCACAAAGAGACUUCAUCUUUAGCUACUUGCCUACUAAAUUAGAACCAAACCAAAAUGUCCUUUUGCCAAGGCCAGAAUUUAAAGAUUUGCUUUAAAAAUAAUUGUGGUAAAAUAUGCACAACAUAAAAUGUAUGAUUUUAACAUGUACAGUUAAGUGGCAUUGGGCUCAUUGACGGUGUUACGCCAUCAUUGGCACUAUGUGGUUCCAGAACUUUUUCAUCAGUCUAAAGGAAACCCCAUCCCCAUUAGCAUCACUCUCCAUUCUUACUCUCCUACAGCCCCUGGAAACUACUAAUUUUCUUCCUGUCUCUAUGGAUUUGCCUAUUCUCGACAUUUUGUAUAAAUGGAGCCAUACCGUCUAUGGCCUUUUGUGACUGGCUUCUUUCACUUAACAUAAUGUCUUCAAGGGUCAUCAUUCCUUUUUAUGGCUGAAUAAUAUUCCAUAGUAUGGACAUGCCACAGUUUGUUUUAUCCAUUCCUCAGUUGAUGGACACUUUGGAUGUUUUUAUCUUUUAUAUAUAAGAAUAAUGCUGCUAUGAACGUUCCUGUACACAUUUUUAUUUGAGCACCUGUUUUCAGUUCUUUGGGGUAUAUAUGCAGAAGUGGAAUCCUGGGGUCGUAUGAUAAUUUGCCUUUAACUUUAUCAAGAUUUGCUUUUAAAACCCCAGAAGGCCAGUUUCCUGACCAUGGACGACAGGGCAUGAGGAGGAAAAGCUUCCACUGACAUUCUCUGUUGUGUCCCCUGAGUCUAGGCAAUUAGGUGCAUAGAUGAAGAUAAUCACUAUGUAAUUACCCUAUCUACACUUAGAAAACCAUCUGCUAAGAUUCCACUUCUUCUAGAAUAUUCUGAAUAUUGCUAUUACACGAAAUUGGGGAACCGUUCUUCAAAAUAAAUUAAUCAAAUGAUUAACCCAGGAUUUCUCCUGUAAGUUUCACUUACUGUUACACUUGUGGAAAUUCAACAACUCUGACUAUUCCUAAGCAUGACAGAAUUAACCCUGAAUCAUCCAAGUGCCAGACCAAAUUCUUCCGGGCUCGGGGUCUUGAAAUGGACUUUUGUUGAGUGGCAGCCUGCAAUAAUCAGCUUUUCUGAAGGUGGGCUUAACUUGCAAUCAGGAAAACAUAGUAGUUAGGUUGCUUUGGGUCAGUAGGACCUGGGUUCAAGUCUCAACUCUGCUGUUAACUAACUUACCUUGGGAAAGUCACUUAACCCUUCUGAAUCCCUCAGUUUCCUCCUCUGUAAUAUGGGAUUGAUUAUAGGACAUACUUCAUGGAACAUUUAUUCAUUCGACAAACAAUUAUUAUGCACCUACUGUGCAACACAUACCGUUUACCGGCACUGACUGAACCCUCGCCUCGAAAGAGUCCCUCGCCUUGUGGGGAGAGACAGACAAUAAACAUAACGAUGAGUGGUUAUAAGGUCGUUAGAUGGUGAUGACUUUAUGAGGAAAAACUAGAACAGGAGGGCUGAAGGAAGCUCUGCAUUUUAAAUGAUGUGGUCAGCAUAAGCCCCACGAAGAAAGUGGCAUUUGAACAAAGACUCGAAAGAAGAAAGAAGAUAAGUCUUGCAGCUGUCUGGCAAGAAGAACAGGUAGUGCAAAGGCCCUGAGGCAGGAGUGUUCUGCCGUCUUCACGGGAGGUCAAGGACACAGCGGGCUGGACCAGAGUGCAGGUGAGAGAGAAUAGAGGGGUUGAUUUUGUGGGCCACAGUGAGGACUCUGGAUUACUCAGAGAGAUCAGGAGUCCUGUAGGUUUCUGACCUGACCUGACAUAUUUCAAAAGCAUCGUUCAAUCUGCUGUGUUAAAAAUAGACCACAGACAGACAAGGGCAACAGCAGGGUGACCAGCCGCGAGCCUCCUGCACUAACCCAGGUGAGAGGAAAUGGCGGCUCGGCCCAGGGUGGCAGCCUGGAGGUGGUGAGAAACGGCCGGGUUCUGGGUACACUCUGAAGGUGGAGCCAGCACACUUUCCUCUUGGGAGGGUAAGGAAGAUAAUGUGGGCAGAGCUCUUACCACAAAGCCUGUGUGUAGUGGGUAGGGAACAAUGGGAGCCACGAUUAUUACUGGGGUGGGCAUGGCGUGUUCCCCUGCCGGGGCUGAUCAGAACCGAAAAAGAAAGAGAGCAAGAGGGACGCUGUGACGGUUCCCGUGCGAUUUGCAGUGAGUUAUGAGGCCACCAAAGGUAACGAGGCUUUCCCACAAUGGAGCCAAGGCUUCUGCUCUUUCCGGAGAACUGGGAAGGCCAAAGCAGCGAAGCCACGUAAUUUAGAACAAAAUAGAGGUUUUAGGGCCAAGUUUUUCAGAUAACGGCAAAAGCUCCUUUGUCGCAGUGUGUGAAAAGCAACAUCGGUGGGAGAAUGUUUGUUUCUAGAUUCCCCGGCUUUGGAAAUCGUCACCGGCAAUAUCAUUGCAGCCCAGGUAUUUAUUUUUGGGUUCUCGAUUGAACUGCUGGACUCCAGCAGAAUUCCUUGCAGGAAGAAGAAUCAAUCGCCAAGAGACAAUGGGAUUCCUUUCAACUCACCUUCUCUUCGCUCCAAAUUCCAGAGAUGAGACGAGAGACGGCUUCCGAGGCUGAUAGAGAUGGAUUUUGCCGGGAGAGUGCCAACGUCGCUCCUCCCGCCUCCCGUCGGCCCUCUGCCAAAGUCUUCCCAUCGGACAUCUGGCCCCAGCAGGGAGAAACAGGGACCAAGGCACUUAUUUUGGCUUUGACGUCAGCGAAGGAAGGCUGAGUAAAUUCAUCAUUAGUGCAAAUUAAAAUCCACCAAACCAAUUGAACUUUCUUGCCAACUUCCUCCAGAGCACAAGAUCAUCCCUCUUGGUCUCUAAACAAUACGCCAAUCAUCGGAUGGAAGUGAGGGGAGCGCUGACCUGUUAGCACCAAACACAGCCCAGGCCCGGAACGGGAGACACACAACAGGAGCAGAGCUGGCUUUCGUACCCGGCCUGGUAAAGACAACAUGUUCUUACAGGCCAGCCGCGAGUCACGGAGGACAAGAACUGAACGACUUCAUUGCCAUUCAUUGGGUCGCCAUAUUUGCACUGGCAACGAAACCCCCAGGAUACCCCUUGCCCUGGCAAUCAAUUCAUGGAAUCCUAUUUAGGGGGAAAAUGGAGUUUGUGUUUGUGAGAGCUCCUUUUUUAAAUCGUGCGGCUGCAGGGAAGACCUUCCACGUAGAGCUGAGAGGCUGGCAUUGAACCUAACCUCUCUCUUAAAUUUCAUACCACUGGCCUCCCUGAAGAGCCCUGCAGUGGUCACAAAGGUCUUUCCAGCAUGGAAUCUCUCUCAUGCCCAGGCUUUUUCCAUGAAGCCAAUGGUGACAACUGCCAUUGCUGAACACUUCCCGUGGAGUCGGGCCACCUCACUGGAUACUGUGAGGGAGUGAUCCCCAGAAGACUUGGACUAGAGUUCCUCAUCUUUCCAGCUCCCUCAGACCUGACCCUGACCUGGAAACACUGGGAAUUCAAUAACGACUUGUUUUGAUCCAUUGCUUAGAUUGUUGACUGUCCUUCAAAACAUUUUGACAAGGGAAAAGGAACAACGAUCCAGGAGCUCAACAUUUCAAGGAAAUCUAUAGCUUGGUAAAAACACCAAAAGGAAUGAAAACAAGGUGAUAAAACGGAAUAUAAAUAGCUCCACCAUUAUCUGCAGAGUGUGUUAUAAUGCAUAACAGUGGCUGGUCGGUGCAGAAAACACAGCCUCUUUGCAAUGUUUUGUUUGUGUCACCGUUUCUGUUAGUGAG
Molecule: long non-coding RNA, 5710 nt
Filed under: Equus caballus (horse)
Lineage: Eukaryota; Metazoa; Chordata; Mammalia; Perissodactyla; Equidae
Description: lncRNA (ENSECAG00000036023.3)
Source: RNAcentral